UGAUUACACUUUCUCCGGAAUCUCUGUAUUCCUGUAAAGACUUUUGAACCCUUGUGCAGCUGAUGACUGUAAACCCCCAUUC
Rana temporaria (common frog) is the source of this 82-nucleotide small nucleolar RNA. RefSeq annotates it as small nucleolar RNA MBII-202. The transcript has a single exon. The record is from RefSeq and is a predicted model, not a curated record. Lineage: Eukaryota; Metazoa; Chordata; Amphibia; Anura; Ranidae.